GCCUACGGCCAUGGCACCCUAAACAAGCCUGAUCUCGUCUGAUCUCUAGAAGCUAAGCAGGGUCGGGCCUGGUUAGCACUUGGAUGGGAGACCACCUAGGAAGACCAGGUGCUGCAGGCU
This 120-nucleotide ribosomal RNA is filed under the name Pteropus alecto (black flying fox). The record is from RNAcentral. Lineage: Eukaryota; Metazoa; Chordata; Mammalia; Chiroptera; Pteropodidae.